Molecule: non-coding RNA, 221 nt
Organism: Fervidicola ferrireducens
Lineage: Bacteria; Bacillati; Bacillota; Clostridia; Thermosediminibacterales; Thermosediminibacteraceae
Rfam family: HNH endonuclease-associated RNA and ORF (HEARO) RNA
Source: Rfam
GUCAACUACCUACCACCUAUAGAGGUGGAGGCUUGCAAAAGCCUUAGUUGACUACCCUCAGCCAGGGUCGAAAGACCAUCGGGCUACGUUAGGCAUGUCAUGACACCAUGGGAUGAUGCCCAAGUCCCAUGCUCUGUCGCAUGUACCUAAACAGUCCUGAGGGGUAGGGACAGUGGUACAUGCAUAACAAGCCUGCCUAACAUUGGGGAUGGGCAAAAUAA